Molecule: RNA transcript, 1189 nt
Organism: Andrographis paniculata
Lineage: Eukaryota; Viridiplantae; Streptophyta; Magnoliopsida; Lamiales; Acanthaceae
Gene name: protein ORANGE, chloroplastic-like
Exons: 9
Source: RefSeq, a predicted model, not a curated record
AUGCUCUGCUCUGCUCGGAUUCUCACGCUUUCUCUUCCGCCGGCGGCGUUCUACCUGUCACACUCCAGAUGUCCUCUUCAUACCAGCCUGAAAUCUAAUCUCAAAUGGCGACGCAAGGCGUCAGAUGCCGAGCCUUCCUCCUCUGCCGCUUCUGUAGAUUCCGAUUUGUCGGGGGAAAGUAAUUCCGCCGGGUUUUGUAUAAUUGAAGGACCGGAGGCAGUCCAGGAUUUUGCGGCAAUGGAGUUACAGGAAAUUCAGGAGAAUAUCAGGAGUCGUCGGAACAAAAUCUUUCUGCAGAUGGAGGAGGUUCGCCGGCUUAGAAUACAGCAACGAAUUAAAAGUGCUGAGCUAGGGAUUUUGAAGGAUGAGCAAGAAAAUGAGCUCCCCGAUUUCCCUUCAUUUAUUCCCUUUUUGCCCCCGCUGAAUUCGUCGAAUCUUAAGCAAUACUAUGCUACAUGGUUUGCACUCUUUACUGGAAUCGUGCUUUUUGGUGGACUUAUUGCUCCCACUCUGGAGUUAAAACUAGGAUUAGGGGGCACAUCAUAUGCUGAUUUUAUCCGGAGUAUGCAUCUUCCAAUGCAACUCAGUGAAGUUGAUCCGAUUGUGGCAUCAUUCUCGGGGGGAGCAGUUGGAGUAAUAUCAGCCUUGAUGGUGGUGGAGUUGAACAAUGUGAAGCAGCAAGAGGACAAGAAAUGCAAGUACUGCCUUGGCACAGGAUAUCUUGCUUGCGCUCGGUGUUCAAGCACCGGAUCACUUGUUCUUGCUGAACCAGUCUCAACAUUAAAAGACGGGGAUACACCCUUGUCUCAACCCAAGACAGAGAGGUGUCCUAACUGUUCGGGGUCUGGAAAGGUAAUGUGCCCGACAUGCCUUUGCACGGGAAUGGCAAUGGCGAGCGAGCACGAUCCACGGAUCGACCCGUUUGAUUGACCUGUUUGCAGCAACUUAUUGCAUUGCUUGUAUCAUGUGUACAUAGAUCACAUCAGGUUUCUUUGCCCACUGGUGGAACAAGUGGGAAACAACACCUCGGUACUCCGCACUGAACCUAUAAAGUUAAGAAAAUCUACUUGAAAUUUUUAACAUGGGUAGCAGACAUUUAGAUUGUGCCAAUAUACGAACAUUCCAUUCAUAGCAGGUAUGUGUUUGAAGAAAGGACCUUUGUAAAAAGUUGCUGCUACCAUACUUUUCG